UACAGAGGGUGCGAGCGUUGUCCGGAAUCACUGGGCGUAAAGGGCGCGUAGGCGGCUCGGUCAGCGGUGCCGGUGAAAGCCCGGGGCGUCAACCCCGGGUCGGCCGUGCGAACUGGCUGGGCUGGAGCACUGUAGGAGGCAGGUGGAAUUCCGGGUGUAGCGGUGGAAUGCGUAGAGAGUCCGGAAGAACACCGGUGGCGAAGGGCGGCCUGCUGGGCAGUAGCUGGACGCUGAGGUGCGAAAGCGUGGGGAGCAAACAGGG
This 262-nucleotide ribosomal RNA is filed under the name uncultured bacterium. RNAcentral describes it as "partial 16S ribosomal RNA". It matches the Rfam family "Bacterial small subunit ribosomal RNA", at positions 524 to 777 of the family's 1533-position model. The record is from RNAcentral.